Unclassified non-coding RNA from Cyprinus carpio carpio, 299 nucleotides. It matches the Rfam family "Metazoan signal recognition particle RNA". Rfam says of the family: The signal recognition particle (SRP) is a universally conserved ribonucleoprotein. NCBI's taxonomy places the organism in Eukaryota, Metazoa, Chordata, Actinopteri, Cypriniformes, Cyprinidae. The record is from Ensembl.
GCCGGGUGCAGUGGCGCGCGCCUGUAAUCCAAGCUGCUGGGAGGCUGAGGCUGGCGGAUCGCUUGAGUUCAGGGGUUCUGGGCUGCAGUGGACUAUGUCGAUCGGGUGUCCGCGCUAAGUUCGGUAUCGAUAUGGUGCUCCUGGGGGAGCUCGGGACCACCAGGUCGUCUAAGGAGGGGUGAACCGGCCCAGGUCGGAGACGGAGCAGGUCAAAGCCCCCGUGCCGAUCAGUAGUGGGGUCGCACCUGUGAAUAGACACUGCAGUGCAGCCUGAGCGAUACAGCGAGACUCAGUCUUUU